RNAcentral lists this long non-coding RNA (521 nucleotides) under Zea mays. RNAcentral's name for it is "long non-coding RNA NONZMAT002273". Lineage: Eukaryota; Viridiplantae; Streptophyta; Magnoliopsida; Poales; Poaceae. The record is from RNAcentral.
UUGCUCAUCCCGUCAUCCGGUGCCAUUUGCCACGCGUAUGCCAAGUUGCCAACCUGAGCCCCUGACGCCUGACGGGUUCAAGUCUGAAGCCAUCGAGUCUGAAAUCUUAUUACUACUUGUGAGUCACGACUCACGAGAUCAAGUGAGGCCAUGCUGAGCUCACAAGAUCAAGUGAGGCCAUGCAAUGCAUCGCUCCAGCCACGAGUACGUGCAAAAGAAAAAUAAAGGGCCCAUAUCCGCUCCGGCUUUUGUAUCGGCCAGCCAUGCAACGCAAUCAUCAAAGCCAAGAUCAAGUGAGGCCAUUGCUGACCUACGUAGCCGGACGCCGGACGGCCGGACCGAGGAGAGACGACGACAAGAGGUAGCCACUAGCCAGGCGGGGAGCAGCCAGAGGAGUCGAAGAGACAGAUGGAAUGUUGCGGCGGCCGACAGCUAGGGUAAAAGUGGAGAGCAAUAGGAUGGAUUCUGGAGGAGUAUUUCAUGGGCCAUCUUGGGCUAUUGGCUGGGCUGCAAGCUACUGU